GAUGAACGUUGGCGGUGUGCCUAAUACAUGCAAGUCGAACGGAGUCAGUAGCAAUAUUGGCUCAGUGGCGAACGGGUGAGUAACGCGUUGGUGAUCUGCCUUGAAGUGUGGAAUAACGUUUCGAAAGAGACGCUAAUACCGCAUGUGCUCUCGAUUUUCAGAAAGUUGAGAGUAAAGGAUUUAUUCGCUUCAAGAGGAGCCUGCGUCCCAUCAGCUGGUUGGUAGGGUAACGGCCUACCAAGGCUAUGACGGGUAGGGGACCUGAGAGGGUGGCCCCCCACAAUGGAACUGAAACACGGUCCAUACACCUACGGGUGGCAG
RNAcentral lists this ribosomal RNA (321 nucleotides) under uncultured Chloroflexota bacterium. RNAcentral's name for it is "bacterial SSU rRNA". It matches the Rfam family "Bacterial small subunit ribosomal RNA", at positions 28 to 351 of the family's 1533-position model. Lineage: Bacteria; Bacillati; Chloroflexota. The record is from RNAcentral.